CCUACGGGAGGCAGCAGUGGGGAAUUUUGGACAAUGGGGGCAACCCUGAUCCAGCCAUGCCGCGUGAGUGAAGAAGGCCUUCGGGUUGUAAAGCUCUUUCAGCCGGGAAGAAAACGCACUCUCUAACAUAGGGUGUGGAUGACGGUACCGGAAGAAGAAGCACCGGCUAACUACGUGCCAGCAGCCGCGGUAAUACGUAGGGUGCGAGCGUUAAUCGGAAUUACUGGGCGUAAAGGGUGCGCAGGCGGUUUUGUAAGACAGAUGUGAAAUCCCCGGGCUUAACCUGGGAACUGCGUUUGUGACUGCAAGGCUAGAGUACGGCAGAGGGGGGUGGAAUUCCGCGUGUAGCAGUGAAAUGCGUAGAUAUGCGGAGGAACACCGAUGGCGAAGGCAACCCCCUGGGCCUGUACUGACGCUCAUGCACGAAAGCGUGGGGAGCAAACAGGAUUAGAUACCCUGGUAGUCCACGCCCUAAACGAUGUCAACUAGUCGUUCGGAGCAGCAAUGCACUGAGUGACGCAGCUAACGCGUGAAGUUGACCGCCUGGGGAGUACGGCCGCAAGGUUAAAACUCAAAGGAAUUGACGG
Molecule: ribosomal RNA, 587 nt
Filed under: uncultured bacterium
Lineage: Bacteria
Description: bacterial SSU rRNA
Rfam family: Bacterial small subunit ribosomal RNA
Source: RNAcentral